GUGGACGGAUGGACCCCUGCCGUCAGAGCUUCGGCAGCGCCAAGGCAGACCAGGCCACAGCCAAGUUGCUUUGCAGAACCCAGGAGCUGCUCCCGGGGUCCUGCCCUCAGACCCUCUGUGCUGGCCUUCAGCUCCGUCCUGUCCCGAGUCCCAGGCUCACCCGGCUGGCAGACACGUGGGCUCUGCCUUUCAGCUGGAGCGGAUGCUGGAGAGCACAGCUGUGCGUGCCCAGAAGCAGCUGAUCCUGCUGCACAGGGAGGAGGGCCCGGCGCCAGCGCGCACCGUGGAGUGGCUCAACAUGCGGAGCUGGUGCUCCGGCCACCUGCACCUCUGCUGCCCGCGCCGCGUCUUCUCCAGGAGGAGCCUGCCCAAGCUGGUGAGGCGGGGAGAGGAGGCUGCCUGCCCGUGGCUCCGUGGUUCAUUUCCUCGAACGUUCGAAGCAUUCUUCACAUUCCCCACCUGAUUCCCUGACACCUGCGCUCCUGGGCCCUUCCUGUGCUUGUGAACGUGACCCUGCCUCACGUCUCCUUCAUCUUGCCCUUUGGGCCUCUGGUGGCCACGGCUAGGAAGCAGCCGGUGCAGUGGGGGCAGGCACAGGGCGGCCAUCGGGCUGGGGGCUCAGCGAACCCCGGGGAUGGGCCUGAAUCAGGGGGCUCAGCAAACCCUGGGGAUGGGCCUGACGUCAGGGGGGCUCAGUGAACCCUGGGGGAUGGGCCUCAUGUCAGGGCUGCUCAGGGCUGAGGCUGAGGCCCCCACAUCCAGCUGAUGAGGGUGUCCUCAGGCCAGCGCUGCUCCCUCCUUUGGGCAGAAGGCCCUGAGACUUUUAAUUCCGGUGUCCUCAGGCAGCCCAGGGGCCUGAGAGUGAGGGGUGUGGGGAGUCUGCUCAUGCUCACGGCCCCCAGCCCACAGCUCUGUCCAGAAACCCACGCCCUGAAGGCACCAUCUGCUGCAGGAUAGAGGGACCCCAGUGGGAACAGCUCUGAGGAUGCCUUCUGGCCCCCCACCCGGGCCCACUCUCUGGCCCCCCACCCGGGCCCACUCUCUUGCCCACGUACCCUCUGCCAGUGUCCUCCCCCCAGUAGCUGAGCUGUCUCUGGGGCCCGGUCCGGGCACUGAGGUGCUGACCAGUCGUAUCAGGCAGGGCCUGCUGCAUGCUGGAGAGGAUUUGGGGUCAGUUUGGGUCAGAAGUGGAGGAAACUCCCCCCAGUCAAGCCAGGAUGCGAGGUCUCGGCCGAGGGUGGGGCCCUGCACCAGCCCUGCCUGACGGCUCCUCCCCCAGGUGGAGAUGUACAAGCAUGUCUUCCAGCGGCCCCCGGACCGACACUCAGACUUCUCCCGCCUGGCGAGGGUGCUGACGGGCAACGCCAUUGCCCUGGUGCUUGGGGGAGGGGGAGCAAGAGGCUGUGCCCAGGUGGGCGUUCUCAAGGCCUUGGCGGAGUGCGGCAUCCCUGUGGACAUGGUGGGAGGCACGUCCAUCGGGGCCUUCGUGGGUGCCCUGUACUCUGAGGAGCGGAACUACAGCCAGAUGCGGAUCCGGGCCAAGCAGUGGGCCGAGGGCAUGACGUCCUUGAUGAAGGCCGCGCUGGACCUCACCUACCCCAUCACGUCCAUGUUCUCCGGAGCCGGCUUCAACAGCAGCAUCUUCAGCGUCUUCAAGGACCAGCAGAUCGAGGUGCACCCCCACCCUCAGGAGCCCAUGCAGCCCCCAGUGCCUGUCCCCUCCUGGCCCCCCACCUCUUGGCCCUGGGUCAGCCUCCCCAGACACAGGACAGGAGCGUGAUGGGAGAGGGCCCAUCUGAGCCCCGUCCGCCCGCAGGACCUGUGGAUUCCUUAUUUCGCCAUCACCACCGACAUCACAGCCUCGGCCAUGCGGGUCCACACCGACGGCUCCCUGUGGUGGUACGUGCGUGCCAGCAUGUCCCUGUCCGGUUACAUGCCCCCUCUCUGUGACCCGAAGGACGGACACCUGCUGAUGGACGGGGGCUACAUCAACAACCUCCCAGGUACUGCGGUGGGGGGACCACGCCCGGCAGGAGCACAGGCUCCUGGGUCACGCCGCCCCACGGCCCCUGCCACAGCUGCCUCCGCUCCAAGAAGCCUGGGCUGGAACACGUUUUCCUUAGAGUAUGCCAAGGGAAAAUGUCAGGCUGGCAUCAGAGCUCCGAGAACAUGCACACGCGUGUACAUGCACACGCAGGCACCGGCAGCAUGUGCUCCAGCAUAUGGCCCUGUUUGUCAGCUCAGCAGCAUGCAGAACAAAGGCCAAGUCGAGGAACUGGGAGCAAUUAAGCCCCAUCUGUGCCCACAGUCAGAAACUAACAGCCUGCAGGUGUCGAGCUUGCUGGGGGCCAGGCCAGGCCACUCCUGUCACCUGUGGGAUAUACGGUCAGAAAGGCCCAGGACACAGCCGUGUGCCCACAGCUGCCCAUCGAGCUGGGCAUGUGGGUCUUCUGCCUCUAGAAGGUGUAAUGGCGGAGAGGAGACCCCACAACCCCCACGUCAGGGCUCGGAGAGGCAGGCUCUGCCCCCGUCCCCUGGCUCUGCAUGCCUGUCCAGGGGGUAACCAGGGCUGGCUUCUCCCUAGCGGAUGUGGCCCGGUCCAUGGGGGCAAAAGUGGUGAUCGCCAUUGACGUGGGCAGCCGAGAUGAGACGGACCUCACCAACUAUGGGGAUGCGCUGUCUGGGUGGUGGCUGCUGUGGAAACGCUGGAACCCCUUGGCCACGAAAGUCAAGGUGGGGUGCUACCGGGCAGGCUGGGCUGUCCCUGCUGCUCCUCCCUGCAGCUCCACACCUGUCCUGCGGCAGGGGAGUGGGGGUCGCUCCUGGGCUCUGAGGCCAGCAGGUCUGGGGCCACCCCUCACCACCCCUGCCUGAGCCCAACUCGGGCGAAGGAAGGCACGAGGCCGGACGGGCCUGAAGGCUGUGGCAGCCCGCAGGGAGGACCCCCGGCCGGGUGCUGCUACCCUCUCCCCCCAGAACCUACCUACCCCAGAGGAUGGGUCCCCAGAACCUGUCCUGCGCCACGGGCCAGGCUGGGACGGGGUAGGGGCCGGGGCAGGAGACUCAGGCGGCUGUGACGGCAGCAGGUGUUGAACAUGGCAGAGAUUCAGACGCGCCUGGCCUACGUGUGUUGCGUGCGGCAGCUGGAGGUGGUGAAGAGCAGUGACUACUGCGAGUACCUGCGCCCCCCCAUCGACAGCUACAGCACCCUGGACUUCGGCAAGUUCAACGAGAUCUGCGUGAGUGCCGGCCACCCGCGGCGGCGGAGGCGGGCGGAGGCACUCUGGUGGCUGCCCCUCCUCGCUUCCCCCUUUUGAGAACACAGGAAGUGGGGGGCUCCCCACACCUCCUGACGGGGCCCUGGGGGUGUGCACAGGAAGUGGGCUACCAGCACGGGCGCACGGUGUUUGACAUCUGGGGCCGCAGCGGCGUGCUGGAGAAGAUGCUCCGCGACCAGCAGGGGCCGAGCAAGAAGCCCGCGAGUGCGGUGAGUACGGGCGUCCGGACCACGCCCAGCUCCCCGGACCGCGCCCAGUUCUUCGGGCCACGCCCACGCCCAGUUCAUCAGGCCACGCCCAGCUCCUCAGGCCACAGGCCCUGCCCCCCUGGCCAAAGACUCCAGGGCCAGGACAAGGAUUGCUCAGGACUGCGCAUCUCCCCGGUCCCUGCCCUUACUUGGGGGGCAGGCGGAGGCUGCAGAGAGGGCGCAGGGUGGGUGGGGCCUCCCCACAGGAAGCAGGCUGGGGACUGGCAGGCGGGUGUCCACAGGCAACGUGCUGUCCUCACCCCACCCCUAGGUCCUCACCUGUCCCAACGCCUCCUUCACGGACCUUGCCGAAAUUGUGUCUCGCAUUGAGCCCGCCAAGCCCGCCAUGGUGGAUGGUGAGUGGAGGCGCAAGACGAAGCCGUGGAGACGUGCGUGACCUCCUGAUGCUGUGUUGGGCUUGAACCCCCCCACCCCAGAGGCCCACGGCCUCCCCUCCCGCCCACGUCCACGCCCAGGCUCCAGCAGCUGGGGUGCUUGGUGGCACUCCUCCGUCCCGGGCACCACGUGUUCCCACAGCAGUGGGACUGUGACCACCCCGGGUCACCCAGCCCCUGCCCUUCAUUCACCUCAACUCCCAGCCACACCUCAGGCCUGAAGUAGAACCACGUUUUGCCUCCCACCCCACCCAGUGGGAAAUGGGAAUGAAGGCUGCUUGUUGGAGGGGCCGCAGGACAAGAAGGGCGGGUCCACUACCCUCCAUGCUCCAUCCAGGGCCCUGCGCUUGGGCCUUCAGCCAGUGGCCUCCUCACAGCAGAACUGGACAUUCUCCUGGGAGACGUCUUCAUGGCUGCCGCAGGCCGAGAGGGCCCUGGGCAAGGCAGCCCCUAUCCACAGUUGCCAGGUCUGGGGUGCUGGAGCCCUCAGGGUGCUUGGCUGACAAGGGGAGGAGUGUCUGCCCGCUCCUUGUCCUUGUGGAAGACCCACGAAGUGAUGUGCUGGGGCAAAGCUGGAGCCAGACAGAACCAGGGGUGGUGUGCAGGGCUGCCCUGGGACCAGGUGGCUGCGUGUAGGGCCCCGGGCCACCUUGGAGGCGGGGGUGGGCAUCUGUGGCCGGUUCUGCCUCUGAGUGUGGCUAUGCUGGGUACGGUCCCUUCCUUGGGAGGGGACUGACGCAGCCCUACCCUCGGUGCCAGACGAAUCUGACUACCAGACGGAGUACGAGGAGGAGCUGCUGGACGUCCCCAGGGAUGCAUACGCAGACUUCCAGAGCACCUCAGCCCAGCAGGGCUCAGACUUGGAGGACGAGUCCUCACUGCGGCAUCGACACCCCAGUCUGGCUUUCCCAAAACUGUCUGAGGGCUCCUCUGACCAGGACGGGUAGAGGCCUCUGCUAAAGAGCCCGGAUGCAGCGUCUUCCGUGGGACUGUCCCCAAGGCUGAGGCUCCUGCCAAGUCCUAGGGGCCUCUGUACCUGCCCUGCUGGAAGCCCUGACUUCCCCGGGGCCCCAGGCUGUGUUAGGGUUCUCUGGGCCUCUUCUUUGUACCAGCAGCCCUGCAUACAGGGCCCUGUGAGCCCCCCUGCAGUCCUGUGAGGCCCCUGAAGCUCUGUGAGGCCCCUGAAGCUCUGUGAACCCCCUGCAGCCCUGUGAGGCCCCCCGAAGCCCUGUGAGGCCCCCCGAAGCCCUGUGAACCACCUGCUGCCCUGUGAGGCCCCCAAAGCCCUGUGAACUGCCUGCUGUCCUGUGAACUGCCUGCUGCCCUGUGAGGUGUGGGAGCCCUGAUGCUGCCGUGUGAUGUUUCAAUAAAGGUGGAUCUCACUGUU
RNAcentral lists this long non-coding RNA (5308 nucleotides) under Homo sapiens (human). RNAcentral's name for it is "non-protein coding lnc-PNPLA7-1:1". Lineage: Eukaryota; Metazoa; Chordata; Mammalia; Primates; Hominidae. The record is from RNAcentral.